CUGGAUUGCAACUCACUGAGGCAGAGUCUGUCAUUUGUGCAACAAGUUAAAAAUCAGAAAGCAAUGGGGCAAGAAAUAAAAUUAUUUCUGAUAUAUAGAAUUUAGCUUCAGCUAAUUCAGACCUGCCUUCAUUCCCUGCUCCCAACCCCCUCCAGCCUCCAGCAGCAGCAGCAGCAGCACCAGCAGCAGCAGUGGCAGCAGCAGCGCCCCUGAAGUCUCUUGUGGAAGGCUUUAUCUACCCUUCUAAACCAAAAUCAUUCUGUGGUAUUUCUUCAGAACCUUGGACAAAUCAACAAUGUGUGAGUAUGUGCUUUACAAUCCUUUUACUGCAAUCAUACUGUGAGUUUUAUGACCCAACUUAAGUAGCAUGCACUUCCUUCUUCAGCAAAAUUCAUUAUAUUGUUCCCACAUUAGUGGAACUAGUUAAUAUAGACAUGCUUACUUAAACCCCCACCUCAUUUUCUUUAUAAUUCCCCUGCCAGAAGCAGGAAACAACUAAAAUAGUUUUUUUUUUUAAAACACAAUGUUACAUUUUAAAUUUAUUUUGUAAACUUUUAUUAGAUUUUACUGUGUCAUGUCUUGCACGAGGAAUGAAAAAAAAUAUAUGGACUCUGAGUUAAUAAUAAAGGACUCACAGUCUACCAGGAGAGAUGACACAUGCCCUACUUUCCUAUCCAAAUUAAUUACAUAUAUAGUGUGAUCGAUACUUUAUUAAAAGGUAUGCAGCAAUAGGGGACCGGGGUAGGAUUUCUGAGUUGGAACCCUUCCAGUUAACCUUCUCAGCCUCCAGGGUUUUAGAAUAAAAUAUCCCAAAGCAACAACAGAUCCUGGCCAGUUUUCUGUUUUCCCAUUUCCUUCCCACCUCCACCUGAUUUACCCACCUAGCUACUGAUGUUGAGUGGAAUAGCCACAGUGAGAGAGACCAGUUGGCUUUAAUCAGAGUUCCAGUUUUCGUUACCACAUGCAGAAAGAGAAGGUAGAACCAGAAUUCAGGCCUCUAAGACUCAGUAACCCAGCUCAGUAGAUAAAAGUAAAUUAGUAAAUAUGGUAACCAAAUGAGUGUCUGGACAAACAGGCCAGCAACUCUCUUGAGGGGCAAGUUCUUGCUCCACCACUCCUGAGUGGGAAGGGGGGCUGGGCAGGUGUGUAAAAAUGCAGGCAUGGCAUCUAUAGAGUGCCAGCCCUGGGCAUGGGGAAGGCAGCAUGUGUCAAGGAGCUCUUCAAAGAAGAGGUGAAAUGAGAGCAGAGUCUUGAUGUGUGAGAAGAAAUCUCAUGCAGGAAUUGGGCAAGAGAAGCUUCCUAGACAGAGAACAGCAUAUCUGAUCAACUGUUGGGGAUAAGAAAUGAGGCUAGAGAGAAAGCCAGGGGCUCAGAUAGUAGAAGGUGCUAGGGAACUACUGAAGACUAGCAAGGGAGCAAUAGAGGCAAUUUUGUGUUAUAGAAAGAUAAUUCUGACAGAAAUGUGAUGGGUAGAUUGAUGGGGACAGGUGUGGUGGAGAAGGAAGAAGCUAUAUCACCUAUGUUGAAAUCAUCCGGGUAAGAAAUGAGAAAGACUUGAAAAAUAAAUAGGCCAUGUUUGCAUGAAACAAAGAAAAGGGAAUAUAUAUUUAAGACAUGUUUUAGGAUGUAUUCCUUUUUUUAAUCCUAAACUCACCAGUUAGGUAAAUCACUACCUAGGGAAGCAGCAGAGACAGGCCAAAAGGGUUACUUUAAUGGAGCACUCUCCACAAAGAAACACCAGGAAUAGGGAAUAAAUGAUCCGAGCAACAUUAAUUUCAGGCAACUUGCAGUUCUUUCCUUCCCUUGGGGUCACUGCUCAACUCUGUGGGCUGUCUUAGUCCAUUCAGGAGCUGCUAUAACUAAAUAUCUUAGACUGGGUAAUUUAUAAACAAUAUAAAUGUAUUGUUCACAGUUCUGGAGGCUGGAAAGUGCAAGAUCAAGGUGCCAGCAGAUUUAGCUUCUGGUGAGGGCUUGCUCUCUGCUUCAAAGAUGGCGACUUCUUGCUGCAUCCUCACAAGGCAGAAGGGGCAAACAGGUUCCCUGAAGCCUCUUUCAUAAGGGUACUAAUCCCAUUCACCAGGAUGGAGCCUCAUGACCUAAUCACCUCCCCAGAGCCCUACCUCUUAAUACUGGUAUCUUGGGGGUUAGGUUUCAAUAUAUGAAAUUAAGGGCUGGGCACAAACACUCAGACCACAGCAGAGGCUUAUCUAGUGCUAAGGCACUCUGGGUUAAGAUGUUCUAAUGUUAUUGUCCGAAUUGAUUUCCAU
RNAcentral lists this long non-coding RNA (2267 nucleotides) under Macaca fascicularis (crab-eating macaque). RNAcentral describes it as "lncRNA (ENSMFAG00000065160.1)". Lineage: Eukaryota; Metazoa; Chordata; Mammalia; Primates; Cercopithecidae. The record is from RNAcentral.